Molecule: ribosomal RNA, 484 nt
Filed under: uncultured bacterium
Lineage: Bacteria
Description: bacterial SSU rRNA
Rfam family: Bacterial small subunit ribosomal RNA
Source: RNAcentral
GACGAACGCUGGCGGCGUGCUUAACACAUGCAAGUCGAACGGUGACCCAGGGCUUGCCCUGGUGAUCAGUGGCGAACGGGUGAGUAACACGUGGGCAACCUGCCCCUGACUUCGGGAUAACUCCUCGAAAGAGGAGCUAAUACCGGAUACGACCACUUCGGACAUCCGAUGGUGGUGGAAAGUUUUUCGGUCAGGGAUGGGCCCGCGGCCUAUCAGCUAGUUGGUGGGGUAAUGGCCUACCAAGGCGACGACGGGUAGCCGGCCUGAGAGGGCGACCGGCCACACUGGGACUGAGACACGGCCCAGACUCCUACGGGAGGCAGCAGUGGGGAAUAUUGCGCAAUGGGCGAAAGCCUGACGCAGCGACGCCGCGUGAGGGAUGAAGGCCUUCGGGUUGUAAACCUCUUUCAGCAGGGACGAAGCGAAAGUAGACGGUACCUGCAGAAGAAGCACCGGCUAACUACGUGCCAGCAGCCGCGGUAAU